UUUCCUUUUCAUUCCCUUCCAGCUGCCAGAUGGAGGGGUGCUGAUCCUUCUCCAGUACAAGUAACGUGCUGUUCAUGCUUUAUUUUGCACCUAGAAAAUGAUGAACAUGAACAAGCGCUUGCUCAAGCAGAAGGGUGAGGGGGAAAGGUAGCAGGAUGGCAAAGAAGUGGAGCUAGAACCAUGCGGGAAGUGUUUGACCCAGUUCAUUUGCUAACUCUUACAGGAAAUCUGAGCCAGUCAGGAUGCAAGGUGCCAACAAGAAAGUAAUGGAAAUACAGUCAGAGAAUUCUCAUAGGGAAAGGAAAAGAACUGUUAUUGCUUUUCAUAACCUUUAGCAAUUCAGCAAAGCUUGGGGUAAUUUCUGUUAGGAGAAGGAAUUCAUGUUGAAGUCAGACAUCUCUUUAGGUUCUGUCCUAUUUAAGGAACAUAUAAAAUUCCAUUUUCCUGAUCACCAUGUGAAGCAAACAGCAGCAUAUUGCAAGAGAAGGAGGGGUUGAGGAGGUGACGCAUUGUGCCAUGGCAUAACCCAAAUGCAUCCUUGAAGUUUUGCUCGGGCCAAUAUUCCCAGUGCCUGUUUUUUGACUCUGCAGUUUUCUGUUGCUUCCUAUUUCUCUGAUGUUUUCCCCCUUUCUCUCUGUCUUUGUCUAUAUCUGGGGGAGGAGGGUGGUCCUCAUUGCUUCAGAUAACUUGUUGCAUAAAGGAGAUUAAUGACUUCUUACUGUUAUUUUAAAUGAAGGGUAUUGGUUAUGCCCACAUGGAUCAGUGAAGUUUUCCCUCCGUCCGUAACCAAUUGCUUUGUUUUGUCUCUGAUGGUAUGACAAUGAAGACAGCACAAAUGAGAUCAGCCCAUCCACAGCAAGCAGGUGCAGUGCACAUAGGAAAAUGGGGAUUGCAGCAAAAUCAACAGAGACAAAAUACAGAGGCAGCUGAAAUGAAAUGCAAGAAAACUCAUCACAAAUCUUCUGUGUUUAGGAUAAAAGAAAAGAGAAUAUUUAUCGGUGUAUGGCUGAUGCUGGAAAGGGUAUUCCUGGACAACCAGAAAAAAUGCUAAUCUGCUGAUAACAAUAAUGUCUACAUUACUUUCCAAUGCUAAUCUUUCAAGCUCAGCAGAAAAGUGGGCACUAGUAAAUAAUUUCAGUUCAGAAUUUGGAUUUUCAAAUGGUUUCCUGGGCUAAAAAUCAAUGCCAACAGUUAUCUGCAACUUAAAAUCUACUUUGCAGUGGUCCUGACCCUGCAAAUAUUAAGUAUGUGAGUGAUUUUUUUUUUAAUGAACACUGAGUCCUCAGGGCAGCAAGGACUGUGGUCAGGUAGAUAGAGAUAAUAUUUUAAUUUAUUUUUCUUUCCUUAGUGGCUUUUUCAAAGUUACAGUAGUGACCUUAUAUAUUGGAUGAGGUUUUAUAUAUUAAAAAUACCACCAGUCUUUUCUCUGAGAUGAACCAGUUUGCUUUGGGCUGCAUAGUUCUCCAAAGGCAGCUCAGACCCAGACUGUGGCUGGCCUGGUGGGAGGAGUGAGCUAUCAGGAGUCACUUUCCCCAUUCCCAGCACACUCAUUGCAAAGUAUGUAGAGACCCCAGUGUAUCACAUUGUACAACAGCCUUGUCAGGCAGAAAUGAGAACAUUGGGGUCCUUGACUGUCUUGUUUCCAAUAGUGAAGGCAUUACUAGCUGUUUCUUUUUAGAGAUGUAGCAAACACUGCUGCCAAGCACACACUGCCUAUAGUAGGUACUGUAUUAUGUCUCUUGCAUAGAAGUCAUGGGCUUGAGGUACUCAGCCUAUGGGCACUGUAGCUCUUAAGCUAGAUUAUGGCUCUUAUCAUGCUGUUUCAUAAACAGUGUAUUUUUGACUUCAGGUAGGUAUUUAAGUUCUAGGUACAUUUAAAAACAAUCCUUAUUUUUUUAUGACAGUGGCCUUUAGAAAAAGCAAGAAAAGGACCCUAAAAAAUUGUGUUACAGACCCAUGAUUAUUCCUAAAUAGGCAUUUUUCCCCCUCAUGGAACACUUUAGACAUGCUCUUAAGUGGAACAUUGGGAAUGCACUAUAUUAUAUGAUCAAAGAAAAUUCUGAGGAAAUAAAAUUAACAACAUUGUUCUCACCUUGUAAUAUACUAAUAAACUAGCUUCAGCCAAAUCACUGCUUAAGGUAGGUUGUGUUUCUUAGAACUUCAUAAAGAACUCUACAAAACCCGAAAAAAGAGAAGAAAUAUUCCACCCCUGGCCUCUUCCAGCGCUCUGUUGAAGAGGGAAUGAUUCAGAAGUAAAGCAUCACUUAAGUGGAGCUGUGAUUGGAAACCAGCUGUCCAGCUUAAAAGCCAAGUCUCCAGUGAUUUAUGAACCAUGGGUUGCACUGGUGAGCACUGGAAGGCUCUGUCAGCAGGGAACAACAUGCAGUAUACAAAAGUGAGAAUUGUCCAUUGUUUUUAAAUAUUCUUACAUAAACUGGGCCACAUCCCAUGCUUCGGUGGGUCUGUUACAUUCUUAAAUAUAUCUAAAGUUGUAUCUUCACUGAAUGUAAUGCUGUUAAGCAUUCCAUGGGAUGUCAACUUUCUGAAUUAGUUGUUAACAUCCACCUUUUUCCAGAUAUCAGAAUGAAAAAAAAGCUACUUAACAUCAGGAGCUAUUUACAUGGUAUCAGUGCCAUCAUUCAGAUUUGUUUUCAAUGACAAUAAAUGUAAAGAAAAAAUUAUGAAAACGUGCUUUGAUGUUGACAUGGAGAAAGUGGCUUCCAUCUUACCUGUUUCCAUUUCAGACCUGCUGCACAAAUAAAAGUAAUGUCAUUUUUUGUGUG
Long non-coding RNA from Gavialis gangeticus (Gharial), 2783 nucleotides. RefSeq lists it as uncharacterized. The record is from RefSeq and is a predicted model, not a curated record. Lineage: Eukaryota; Metazoa; Chordata; Crocodylia; Gavialidae. The transcript is spliced from 4 exons.